Ailuropoda melanoleuca (giant panda) is the source of this 1521-nucleotide long non-coding RNA. RefSeq lists it as uncharacterized. Lineage: Eukaryota; Metazoa; Chordata; Mammalia; Carnivora; Ursidae. The record is from RefSeq and is a predicted model, not a curated record. The transcript is spliced from 3 exons.
CAAGGACACAAAGUGGUAUAAAUGGAGUGGCCCCUGAUCAUAUCUUGGGCCGAAGUAGAAAGAAACUUUGCCCUCAAGUCACACUGCCUGGGUUCUAAUCUCAGCUUCAAUGAUUAUUUGUUGGAUGACCUCAGCCCAGUAAACAAGAAAAUCAUGGCAUCUCUCUGAGCCUCCACGUUCUCAUCUCGGUGUACGUGAAUACCUGUCCUGCGGAUGGUGUUACCCACAGACGCUAUGAGAAGGGAGCAGGGAAUGAAACUCAGACCCCUACUGGGUCCUGUUCCUUGAGGAGUCAUACCAAAGCCUGUGACUGGGAACUGGGGUCCUUCACUGCUCCCACCCCCUAGCCGGGGAUGCACCGGGAAGGUUUGCCUUGGGGAGGCGGUGUGGCUGCUCUGCUUUUCACACCCCCCAUGCCUACAUCUACCUGCCUGGGGAGCUUACUGUUUCCAUGCUAAGUUAUGUAUGGGUUCAAUUGCUUCUUUUGCCUGUUUCUGUUCAAGUACCGUAUUCCUCAGCUCUGGAGGAGCUGGGAGGUCAAUCCUUUGAUUAUAAAAAUAACUUGAGCUGUCCAUUUCCCAUUAUAAUGUUGUCUCAGAUGGUCUCCUUCCCUUCUGAUUUUCCUUAGUCUUUGGAUGUCAGUUUCUUCAUAUAAGAUGGAGAUGAUAAUAUUUAUUUCCGUGGGGCCAUUUGAGGCUCAAGGGAGGGCUUUCUGAAGUAUUAAACCUAUUCAGGUGUUGAAUAUGGUGACAGUGUGUAUGCGUAAUCUUGCCUCCGUUGAAAGCUCUGGGAAGAGAGGAAGCCCCUCCAUCCUUUCAACGCCACAUAACCAGUGCCCUUGCAAAAUGCCAGGCACACACAAGGUGCUCAGUUAAUGUUUUCUGAACAAAUGACUGACCUCAGAUCUUCAGAGGUUAAUCUCUAUUGUCUCCUAUCUAUUUUCAUCACUAUUUAAAAAAAUUUUUUAUUAGCAUUCAUGGCUGCUGACAUCUCCACUCCACCCACAUCCCCACCACCCACAAUUCCCAGCCCCUAUCCCCCACUCUGGGGUAGAGCUGAUGGAUAGCUCAGGAGUUCAGAGCAUACAUUGGGCCAGUCCAGACUGGAAGAUAAGGAUUUCAAGGGGCAAAUACAGGGAGAUUGGGCCACUGCAGCCUGAUUCAGAGCAGAUGAAAUGCCUGUGCUGGCUUCAGGAAUAGGGGGUUUUGGGUCUAGCUUCAGGGAAAAAAACAAGAGGUGAGCCCCAAACAGCACAGUGGUCGAAAAGUAGCAACCAUAUCUACCAACGAUAGCUGGUCAUAGUUUCAUCUUUCUGGGCACAACCUCAGGUGAUUCAAACAAUGUUGGGCUCAUUUUACAAAUAGGAGCUGCAGGCCAGGCCUGACUCCCUAUGGGUAUUCAGUAGAGCUGACAGCUUAGAUGAGGACAUGCAGGAGAUAUCUUGCAUCUUCUUUUCUCUGUAGUCCUUCAUACUCUCUAACAUGCCACCCAUGUUGCUUAUUUAUCUUGCUUAUUGCAUGU